Molecule: RNase P RNA, 337 nt
Filed under: Salegentibacter echinorum
Lineage: Bacteria; Pseudomonadati; Bacteroidota; Flavobacteriia; Flavobacteriales; Flavobacteriaceae
Description: Salegentibacter sp. HD4 Bacterial RNase P class A
Rfam family: Bacterial RNase P class A
About the family: Ribonuclease P (RNase P) is a ubiquitous endoribonuclease, found in archaea, bacteria and eukarya as well as chloroplasts and mitochondria.
Source: Rfam by way of RNAcentral
UAAGCAGGCCGCCUUAUCGCUGCUAAUGCAAAUUAGUAGAGGAAAGUCCGGACACCAAAGGGCGACAUAGUGGGUAACGCCCACCGUUUCCCGUUCCGACAAUUAAGGGGAUGGGAUUAGGACCAGUGCAACAGAAAGAAUGUACAGGUAAUGCUGUAGUGAAAUCAGGUAAACUCUAUGUGGUGCAAUGUCACGUAAACCGGUGCCUGCAAACUGCCCGUUUGCUACCGGAGGGUAGGCAGCUAAAGGUUUUUGGUAACAAAAACUUCAGAUAAAUGAUAGGGGCUUUCUAAGAAAUUAGAAAGAACAGAAUCCGGCUUACAGGCCUGCUUUUUAU